Molecule: long non-coding RNA, 1456 nt
Filed under: Brassica napus (rape)
Lineage: Eukaryota; Viridiplantae; Streptophyta; Magnoliopsida; Brassicales; Brassicaceae
Description: long non-coding RNA (BNAP_LNC007242)
Source: RNAcentral
AGGUUUGUCCGCGCUUCGCGCAGGUUGUUCGGUUUAAAAUUUAUGAUUUUGUUGGAUAAUGUUCAUUGUCAAUAGAUAUAGAGCUUUUGAUAUGGUUGUAUUUUAUGUGUUUGGCAUGCUAGUGUAAAGUUUUAUGUAAUGUGUAUAUCGUAAAUAUAGUGGGUGUAACAUAGUAAAUGUUUUGGCUUAGGGUUGUCUUUAAGGUCAUAGAGAGGGGACUGAUGAAAGAAGGGGGAAUGUUACUAUGAAAUUGUGGAAAAUACUAAGCAAAAACUCUGAUAUUUUCCGCAAUAGUGAAACAGUAUUUGCUAUGAUAUUUGCCAAUUUUUAAUAUUAUGUAUAGUAUAAGGAUGUUGAAAACUUGUAGCCUAAUGUUGUUUGUAAACAAUAGGGCUCGGGGGAGGUUUGUUUUGAUGAAUUGUUUUUUGCAUGUGUUUGUGGGUUGUUUCUUCAUUUUUUUUCUAUAAAAUUUACGAUGAUGUUUGUAAUUUUAUUAAAAUUGCAAAUUAAAUCUUUGAGGAAUAUACUUUAGUAAUAUUUGAAAGAAAGAGAGGAGCUAGUGUUUUAAAUGCAAGUAUGGAGAGGUGCUAGUGUGGCAAUGGCUAACAUGACGACCAUUGAUAAGGAUAAUGUCAAAAUUAUAUAUACUUAUUAAGUUUUUAAGGUCAAUGAUGGCACUUUUAUUCCAUUAUCGAUUGCCACUUCUGAACUUAGGUUGUUUUGUAAAGAGAUACGAAUGGCUUAUAUAUGUGCUAAGCUAGUGUGGUGGUUAGAGUUUUCAUGUUGUGGUCCAAUAAUUGAGUUCUUCCACGGUAGUGUUGGAAGUUGGUGGGCUGAGAUUAUAUGAUGGGCUAUUGAUUAAGGAUGUUGGAAUGAAUUUGUUGAUUAUAUGUUUAAUAAGUGUUUUUAGUCACUUAUGAUUUGAACUUCUUAUCAUAGUAAUGAACUGGGAUGGUAGAAGCUGGUGUUGAAGUUGAAACCCUUAAUUUUUUUUUAAAUCGUAGUUGCAGGACAUGAGUUUUUAGAACUGAACUCUUUAGAUGCUUUCUGAUAAUUGGUUUCCAUGCUUCCCUUUCUACUGGUUGAGGAAUGUUUUAAGUGAGCUUCUUCUGGGAGAUUUGAAUGUUGUUAUGUUAUUGUUUUGGAAUUAUUUAUUCAUUUGAGGAAAAUUUGGUGGGGCAUUCAAGAUUUUUUUUUUGGUUAUAUGAGGUGAUCUAACCGUGAUGAUGAUGUUGUAGGUCAGAUUUCAAGUGGAUUUGUGGAUUUGUUGAAGUUUUUGAUGAAUUUGUAAUAAUUUACAGGCUGAUCUGGGGAAACUUUGGUUGGUUUCCGUUCAUGUUCGGCCUCUGUGGUAAUUUAAAAUUUGUUAAUCAUAUCAAUUUAUGAAUAUAUUGCGAGGGUGGGGUGUGUCUGAUUUUCCCAGUGGUGGUGUCAUCGGUUUUUAUUAGAUCGUUGU